Molecule: ribosomal RNA, 433 nt
Filed under: uncultured bacterium
Lineage: Bacteria
Description: partial 16S ribosomal RNA
Rfam family: Bacterial small subunit ribosomal RNA
Source: RNAcentral
AACGAACGCUGGCGGCAUGCCUAACACAUGCAAGUCGAACGAAGUCUUCGGACUUAGUGGCGCACGGGUGCGUAACGCGUGGGAAUCUGCCCUUGGGUACGGAAUAACUCAGAGAAAUUUGUGCUAAUACCGUAUAAUGUCUUCGGACCAAAGAUUUAUCGCCCAAGGAUGAGCCCGCGUAAGAUUAGCUAGUUGGUGGGGUAAAAGCCUACCAAGGCGACGAUCUUUAGCUGGUCUGAGAGGAUGAUCAGCCACACUGGGACUGAGACACGGCCCAGACUCCUACGGGAAGCAGCAGUGGGGAAUAUUGGACAAUGGGCGAAAGCCUGAUCCAGCAAUGCCGCGUGAGUGAUGAAGGCCCUAGGGUUGUAAAGCUCUUUUACCAGGGAUGAUAAUGACAGUACCUGGAGAAUAAGCUCCGGCUAACUCCGUG